This 253-nucleotide ribosomal RNA is filed under the name uncultured bacterium. Its description in RNAcentral is "partial 16S ribosomal RNA". It matches the Rfam family "Bacterial small subunit ribosomal RNA", at positions 524 to 776 of the family's 1533-position model. The record is from RNAcentral.
UACGUAGGGGGCAAGCGUUGUCCGGAUUUAUUGGGCGUAAAGCGCGCGCAGGCGGUCCUUUAAGUCUGAUGUGAAAGCCCACGGCUCAACCGUGGAGGGUCAUUGGAAACUGGGGGACUUGAGUACAGAAGAGAAGAGUGGAAUUCCACGUGUAGCGGUGAAAUGCGUAGAGAUGUGGAGGAACACCCGUGGCGAAGGCGGCUCUCUGGGACGGUACUGACGCUGAGACGCGAAAGCGUGGGGAGCGAACAGG